Molecule: ribosomal RNA, 254 nt
Filed under: uncultured bacterium
Lineage: Bacteria
Description: partial 16S ribosomal RNA
Rfam family: Bacterial small subunit ribosomal RNA
Source: RNAcentral
UACGAAGGGGGCUAGCGUUGCUCGGAAUCACUGGGCGUAAAGGGUGCGUAGGCGGGUCUUUAAGUCAGGGGGUGAAAUCCUGGAGCUCAACUCCAGAACUGCCUUUGAUACUGAGGAUCUUGAGUUCGGGAGAGGUGAGUGGAACUGCGAGUGUAGAGGUGAAAUUCGUAGAUAUUCGCAAGAACACCAGUGGCGAAGGCGGCUCACUGGCCCGAUACUGACGCUGAGGAGCGAAAGCAUGGGUAGCGAACAGG